UGAGGGGGGACUGCCCUGGGCCAAGGUGAUUGUUAGAACUCCUGGGACACGUCAGUUCUUCGCUAUUAGAACUCACAGCAAAGGAACUGAGAACUGCUAGAAACGCCAGAAAACAAAAAUCCUAACUGCAACAUGUAAUAAACUUGUUUGGCAAACACAUUCUUAAAAUACCAUAAAA
Molecule: long non-coding RNA, 178 nt
Organism: Bombina bombina (fire-bellied toad)
Lineage: Eukaryota; Metazoa; Chordata; Amphibia; Anura; Bombinatoridae
Exons: 2
Source: RefSeq, a predicted model, not a curated record